This 467-nucleotide ribosomal RNA is filed under the name uncultured bacterium. RNAcentral's name for it is "partial 16S ribosomal RNA". It matches the Rfam family "Bacterial small subunit ribosomal RNA", at positions 28 to 507 of the family's 1533-position model. The record is from RNAcentral.
GACGAACGCUGGCGGCGUGCUUAACACAUGCAAGUCGAACGGAAAGGCCCUGCUUUUGUGGGGUGCUCGAGUGGCGAACGGGUGAGUAACACGUGAGUAACCUGCCCUUGACUUUGGGAUAACUUCAGGAAACUGGGGCUAAUACCGGAUAGGAGCUCCUGCUGCAUGGUGGGGGUGGGAAAUUUCGGCGGUUGGGGAUGGACUCGCGGCUUAUCAGCUUGUUGGUGGGGUAGUGGCUUACCAAGGCUUUGACGGGUAGCCGGCCUGAGAGGGUGACCGGCCACAUUGGGACUGAGAUACGGCCCAGACUCCUACGGGAGGCAGCAGUGGGGAAUAUUGCACAAUGGGCGGAAGCCUGAUGCAGCAACGCCGCGUGCGGGAUGACGGCCUUCGGGUUGUAAACCGCUUUCGCCUGUGACGAAGCGUGAGUGACGGUAAUGGGUAAAGAAGCACCGGCUAACUACGUG